RNAcentral lists this non-coding RNA (30 nucleotides) under Mus musculus (house mouse). Lineage: Eukaryota; Metazoa; Chordata; Mammalia; Rodentia; Muridae. The record is from RNAcentral.
UGGGAUUGGACCACCAUGUUUUGUGGAUUC